UGAGGAAUAUUGGUCAAUGGGCGCAAGCCUGAACCAGCCAUGCCGCGUGAAGGAUGACGGCCCUAUGGGUUGUAAACUUCUUUUAUAGUAGGCGAAAAGCAGGUCGAGAAUCUGAAUUGACGGUAUACUAUGAAUAAGCAUCGGCUAACUCCGUGCCAGCAGCCGCGGUAAUACGGAGGAUGCGAGCGUUAUCCGGAUUUAUUGGGUUUAAAGGGUUCGUAGGCGGCCGUUUAAGUCAGCGGUGAAAUACCAGCGCUCAACGCUGGGGCUGCCGUUGAUACUGGAUGGCUAGAGGGUCGGCGACGAUGGCGGAAUGUGACAAGUAGCGGUGAAAUGCAUAGAUAUGUCACAGAACACCGAUAGCGAAGGCAGCUGUCGAGCCGUUACCCUGACGCUGAGGAACGAAAGCGUGGGGAUCAAACAGG
RNAcentral lists this ribosomal RNA (425 nucleotides) under uncultured bacterium. RNAcentral describes it as "bacterial SSU rRNA". It matches the Rfam family "Bacterial small subunit ribosomal RNA", at positions 355 to 776 of the family's 1533-position model. The record is from RNAcentral.